RNAcentral lists this ribosomal RNA (516 nucleotides) under uncultured bacterium. RNAcentral's name for it is "bacterial SSU rRNA". It matches the Rfam family "Bacterial small subunit ribosomal RNA", at positions 28 to 504 of the family's 1533-position model. The record is from RNAcentral.
GACGAACGCUGGCGGCGUGCCUAAUACAUGCAAGUCGAGCGAGCUUGCCUAGAUGAUUUUAGUGCUUGCACUAAAUGAAACUAGAUACAAGCGAGCGGCGGACGGGUGAGUAACACGUGGGUAACCUGCCCAAGAGACUGGGAUAACACCUGGAAACAGAUGCUAAUACCGGAUAACAACACUAGACUCAUGUCUAGAGUUUGAAAGAUGGUUCUGCUAUCACUCUUGGAUGGACCUGCGGUGCAUUAGCUAGUUGGUAAGGUAACGGCUUACCAAGGCAAUGAUGCAUAGCCGAGUUGAGAGACUGAUCGGCCACAUUGGGACUGAGACACGGCCCAAACUCCUACGGGAGGCAGCAGUAGGGAAUCUUCCACAAUGGACGAAAGUCUGAUGGAGCAACGCCGCGUGAGUGAAGAAGGGUUUCGGCUCGUAAAGCUCUGUUGGUAGUGAAGAAAGAUAGAGGUAGUAACUGGCCUUUAUUUGACGGUAAUUACUUAGAAAGUCACGGCUAACUAC